Molecule: ribosomal RNA, 251 nt
Filed under: uncultured prokaryote
Description: partial 16S rRNA
Rfam family: Bacterial small subunit ribosomal RNA
Source: RNAcentral
ACGGGGGGUGCAAGCGUUGUUCGGAAUUUUUUUGCGUAAAGAGCGUGUAGGCGGCUGAAUAAGUCAGAUGUGAAAUCCCUGGGCUUAACCCAGGCAGUGCAUUUGAAACUAUUCAGCUUGAGCAGGGGAGAGGAGAGUGGAAUUCCUGGUGUAGAGGUGAAAUUCGUAGAUAUCAGGAGGAACACCGGUGGCGAAGGCGACUUACUGGCCCUAUACUGACGCUGAGACGCGAGAGCGUGGGUAGCAAACAG